RNAcentral lists this ribosomal RNA (527 nucleotides) under uncultured bacterium. RNAcentral describes it as "bacterial SSU rRNA". It matches the Rfam family "Bacterial small subunit ribosomal RNA", at positions 984 to 1509 of the family's 1533-position model. The record is from RNAcentral.
ACAUACCGAUGACAGGUCUAGAGAUAGAGUUUCCCUUUUAGGGCAUCGGAGUACAGGUGGUGCAUGGUUGUCGUCAGCUCGUGUCGUGAGAUGUUGGGUUAAGUCCCGCAACGAGCGCAACCCCUAUUGUUAGUUGCCAUCAUUAAGUUGGGCACUCUAGCGAGACUGCCAGUAAUAAACUGGAGGAAAGGUGGGGAUGACGUCAAAUCAUCAUGCCCCUUAUGACCUGGGCUACACACGUGCUACAAUGGGAAGUACAACGAGUUGCGAGGCGGUGACGCCAAGCUAAUCUCUUAAAGCUUCUCUCAGUUCGGAUUGUAGGCUGCAACUCGCCUACAUGAAGUCGGAAUCGCUAGUAAUCGCGGAUCAGCACGCCGCGGUGAAUACGUUCCCGGGCCUUGUACACACCGCCCGUCACACCACGAGAGUUUGUAACACCCGAAGUCGGUGAGGUAACCGUAAGGAGCCAACCGCCUAAGGUGGGAUAGAUGAUUGGGGUGAAGUCGUAACAAGGUAGGCGUAGAUGA